CUGGGGUUGUGGCUCAGUGGUAGAGCGCUCGCCUAGCAUGCAUGAGGCACUGGGUUCAAUCCUCAGCACCACAUAAAAAUAAAAUAAAGAUAUUGUGUCCACCUAAAACUAAAAAAUAAAUAUUUUAAUAAAUAAAUAAGUAAUCUAAACAUGAUCUUAAAUAUGCAGGAGGAUGUGUGGGAGUUAUAUGCAAAGUCUACACCAUUUCAUAUAAGGAAUUUGAGCAUCCACAGAUUUGGGUAUCCUUGGGGCAUCUUGGAACCCAUCUCCCAUGGAUAUGGAGGGAUGGCUAUACUUGGGUUAGUAGGAAGUCUGUUUUCUAGAGAGAUCCUUUCUCAGAAUGGCUAAACUUGCCCAUAGCUAAGGGGCAGAACUAGGAAAGUUCAGGAAAUGGGAAGAGGUGGAAAGAGAACAUUUUCUGCAACUCUUUCUUCCCUAGAUGACUCCCCAGUGAUCCAUUUCAAAUUGCCACAGCUGAUAUGGAAUUGCUCUUACCUGUAGGAACUGAUCAGAAUAGAGACCAGGCUCAUCAGGUUACUAAUGACACCAGCCUUGCAUGGCUUUUAGAGAGAGGACUGUGGAAGAGGUGGCAGGAAGUAUGACUCCACUGAAUGGAAUGGGUUUAGAAUGCAGAAAUACUUCAGAAUAUCGUGAAAAGCAAAGCACAAUGAUUUGCAGAUCAGAAGGAAAUUGGUUGAGGAAAAGCACAAAGUAAUGCCAGAGGAUGGGAACACCCAAGAAUAGAGGAGUAGGGUGAGAACUUGAGGGAUUCAUACUCCUAGACUUUGAACCUGCCUGUACAGUAGGACGGCUCUCACCCUGCUUUCUAAGGUGUCAGGGCUGACAUGGUGCCCAGAAAAGCAUCCCAUUACUCUCCAAGCACCUGCUAACACCUGUGCAUCAAUUUAAGAAAAGCCUCUCUCAGCCUCAAUCCCACUCAGGAGGUAUCUUGGAGCCCAAUGUUCUGAGGAAGCCAGUACAUAUCCCCAGUUUCCAUGUGCCCAACAUCAUAGCUAGCGAGGAUAAUGGCAGGAGACACAAGAUCAGCCAAAUUAGCCCAACUCACCACCCACUAUGAAAACCGGUGGAGGGUUUGGGUCAUAAGCUUUUAAGGACUCUUCUCUGACUCAGAAGGGCUAAUGGGCCGUUCAGCACGCCUAUAAUCCCAGUGGCUCUGGAGGCUGAGGCAGGAGGAUGGAGAGUUCAAAGCCAGUCUCAGCAAAGGCAAGGCAUUAACAACUCAAUGAGACCCCAUCUCUAAAUAAAAUACAAAAUAGGGCUGG
This 1283-nucleotide long non-coding RNA is filed under the name Marmota monax (woodchuck). The stretch from base 3 to 71 matches the Rfam family "tRNA". Lineage: Eukaryota; Metazoa; Chordata; Mammalia; Rodentia; Sciuridae. The record is from RNAcentral.